UCUUUUAUUCUUUAUCUAACUCCACCAGAAAAGUCGAAUUAGCCCGAUCAAGUGCCUCUUCAAUCCCUCGAAUUCGAGCUAGAAUGUAGUUCAUUUUUCGACUCCAUAACAUUAUUCCGGAAUAAGUCGAUAUUAGCAAUUAUUUCACCAUCAGUCCUCCACACAUUAUUAAGGAACUCUUUGAAAUUCUCAUGAGCUUGCCAGGCAGCAAUAAUAUCGGCCGAUUAUCAGAGCCAAUACGUUCC
This 245-nucleotide long non-coding RNA is filed under the name Gossypium raimondii (Peruvian cotton). Its description in RNAcentral is "long non-coding RNA (GRAI_LNC011000)". The record is from RNAcentral. Lineage: Eukaryota; Viridiplantae; Streptophyta; Magnoliopsida; Malvales; Malvaceae.